CCAGGGUCGAAGCUCAGAGUUGGCAUCAAAGUGCAGAAGAGGGGUCAACAACUCGAGGGAUAUCAUCAUCUCACAAAGAAGUAGCAGAAUCAAUCAGUUCCUUGCGAAAGGAAAAACUUGUUUCGUGCACGCAUGACGCAUUUUUGAAAGAUAAAAAUCACUGUUCGAUUAUUCUGAUGGAAAGAAGUGAUUAAACAAAAUUACACUUGACAAAUUUUCGCAAUUUGGCUGUUGAAAUAUAAAAUUUCCACAGCCUUAGGACUGAGAGAGGAGCUUGACCAUGGUUGGGCAGGGCCUACAUUUAGCAAGCAAGGGCUCAGCCUUGGCCAUAGUGAGCCCACUCCCUUCCUUCAUAUCCACCAUCUCUUCACCUACUCUUUCCCACUCAAAGCAUUGAACUAGAGUUCCCAAAGCCAACCCAACCAUCCUCAUGGCUAGGCCCUCUCCGGGGCAACCCCUCCUCCCAGCCCCGAACGGCAAUAACAUGUAUCCCUCUUUUUUUCGCUCUAAGCCCUGGAAUCUCUCUGGCUUAAACUUUGUGGGCUCUGCCCAAAAGUUAGCAUCAUUUUGUAUAGCAAACAUGUUCACCAAUAACAUUGUGCCUUGUGGGACGUCGAAACCUCCUACAGUGCACUCCUCAGAUGACUCGUGGGGUGCUAGCAGUGGAGCAGUUGGGUGGAUUCGGAGGGUCUCAUUAAUGAUCCCAUGGAGAUAGGGAAGCUUGGAGAGGUCUGAUUCUUCAAUGAGCUUGGCUUGCCCUAUGUUUUUGGCAAUUUCGGCCUUGGCUUUCACAAGGGCCUCUGGAUUGUUUAGCAAAAGUGAUAGUGCCCACUCCAUGGUUCCAGCAGAAGUGUCACUCCCAGCUGACAAUAGAACCUGCAUCAUGCCUCUGAUUAUAUCGUCUGUAUAGUAUUCAGGCUCAUUUUCUUGCAGCCCUAGCAAGACAUCAAUCAUAGUCUUAUCCCUCUUCACAGAAGCAGAAUCACCCUUUGAUCUUUUGUGCGCUUCAAUCAACUUUUGCAUGAACCUAUCCCUCUUUCUUUGCAGUGCUUCUAGCCUCUUUCCAAUCUUAUUCAAUCCAAUCCACUUCAAACCCGGCAAGAAAUCUCCAAUAUUCGUAGCUCCACUCAAUUCAAAAGUCUCUGUCACGAUUUCUUUAAACCUCCUUUCAUCAUCCAACUCUUCCAUGCUCUCUCCAUAAUAUCGCUUUCCCGCAAUCAUCCUCAUCAUAACAUUCAGUGCAAGCUCGAAGAACAUUAAUUUCAUGUCCACAGUCACGAAUUCACCAUAUUUUGAUUGCCUAAAAAUCCUGCGAACCAAUGAUCUGACCUCUUCCACACGUAUAUUAUGGAACAUCUGUAGGCGAUAAGAUGACAAGAGUUCAAGAGAAGCUAUGCGCCUUAAGUUGCGCCAGUGAUCGCCGUAGG
Molecule: unclassified non-coding RNA, 1427 nt
Filed under: Hevea brasiliensis (rubber tree)
Lineage: Eukaryota; Viridiplantae; Streptophyta; Magnoliopsida; Malpighiales; Euphorbiaceae
Source: RNAcentral